AGCAGCCGCGGUAAUUCCAGCUCCAAUAGCGUAUAUUAAAGUUGUUGCAGUUAAAAAGCUCGUAGUUGAAUUUCGGGAUCAAUAUACCGGUCGUGCCUCAGGUAUGAGCUGGUCUUAUUGGUUUCUCCCUUCUGACGAACCAUGAUGUCAUUAAUUUGAUGUCGUGGAGAAUCAGGACUGUUACUUUGAAAAAUUAGAGUGUUUAAAGCAGGCUAACGCUUGAAUACAUUAGCAUGGAAUAAUGAAAUAGGACGUUCGAUCCUAUUUUGUUGGUUUCUAGGAUCGACGUAAUGAUUAAUAGGGAUAGUUGGGGGCAUUAGUAUUCAAUUGUCAGAGGUGAAAUUCUUGGAUUUAUUGAAGACUAACUACUGCGAAAGCAUUUGCCAAGGAUGUUUUCAUUAAUCAAGAACGAAAGUUAGGGGAUCGAAGACGAUCAGAU
RNAcentral lists this ribosomal RNA (439 nucleotides) under uncultured Glomus. RNAcentral describes it as "SSU rRNA". It matches the Rfam family "Eukaryotic small subunit ribosomal RNA", at positions 569 to 1013 of the family's 1831-position model. Lineage: Eukaryota; Fungi; Glomeromycota; Glomeromycetes; Glomerales; Glomeraceae. The record is from RNAcentral.